This 460-nucleotide ribosomal RNA is filed under the name uncultured bacterium. RNAcentral's name for it is "partial 16S ribosomal RNA". It matches the Rfam family "Bacterial small subunit ribosomal RNA", at positions 338 to 795 of the family's 1533-position model. The record is from RNAcentral.
CCUACGGGAGGCAGCAGUGAGGAAUAUUGGUCAAUGGACGCGAGCCUGAACCAGCCAAGUAGCGUGAAGGAUGACUGCCCUACGGGUUGUAAACUUCUUUUAUAAAGGAAUAAAGUGAGGCACGUGUGCCUUUUUGUAUGUGCUUUAUGAAUAAAGAUCGGCUCACUCCGUGCCCGCAGCCGCGGUAAUACGGAGGAUCCGAGCGUUAUCCGGAUUUAUUGGGUUUAAAGGGAGCGUAGAUGGGUUGUUAAGUCAGUUGUGAAAGGUUGCGGCUCAACAGUACAAUUGCAAUUGAUACUGGCAGCCUUGAGUACAGUUGGGGUAGGCGGAAUUCGUGGUGUAGCGGUGAAAUGCUUAGAUAUCACGAAGAACUCCGAUUGCGAAGGCAGCUGACUAAACUGCCACUGACACUGAUGCUCGAAAGUGUGGGUAUCAAACAGGAUUAGAUACCCGGGUAGUC